UACCUAUUCAGAACGUCUCUGGAAAUGUGG
RNAcentral lists this non-coding RNA (30 nucleotides) under Rattus norvegicus (Norway rat). Lineage: Eukaryota; Metazoa; Chordata; Mammalia; Rodentia; Muridae. The record is from RNAcentral.